CCGGAACCGGCACUCCAGAUGACCAAACAGCCUCGCCGGGCUUUACUACCCGCCUUCUUUCCCAGAGUCCUCUUUUCCCAGCCUCCCUGCUGCUCUCCCAGCCCAGCCUCCAUGAACGUCCACUUUUCCCUUGACUUCACUUCCUGACACACCCUACAAGUUCCUCCCUGGCUCUCCUCCUUUGUGCGAUCCCCUCUGCCUGGAUGUUCCUGAGUUCUCUCCUGGGCCCACCAUGUUUCUCAGGAACCCGCUCCAUCCACCCUCCCACGGUAGACUUACCCAGCCCUGCCCGGGUUCCCGGACCUCUGGCUCUCACCCAGGUCAGUCCCCUCCCUGCCGUCCAGCAGCUGUUCAUCUCUGUGUCUCUUGACUGGACGGUGGAACCACGGUUGCUAAUCCACACUUACAACAUGCGCACGAGAGAGUGCCCUGCGGGUCCUCAGCAAAUCGGAGAGUGUGCGUGGCAAUGAAUGUGUGGACAAGUGGCUGUGUCUCCAGCCGUGCACUACCGAGAACAGAACCAGGAGCCUGGCAGAGGUGGGACAGGGACAGAGCUGCUGGGAGCCAGAGAGGAAAUCUCGCCUCAGGAAACGAAAGGAAGUCUGAGCCACGCUUCGCAGAGCUGGACGGGAACCUGAGGGCUCCGGGCAGCAGGUUUUACAGAUGGUAACAGAAGCCAGCAGGGUGAGCAGCCGGCCUCCACGCAGACCCUGGGUGCCAGGCCGGCCGUCAUGAAAGGGUGCUGUGCGCGGCAGGAAAGGAUGGCGACUCCACCACGGCUGGCAUCAGAGGAGGAGAGGCCUGGGGCCGAUGUGUGAAGGGGCUGCCAAGCAUGGAUGGGGCACGCGGCCAGGCAGCUGUGCACGCAGGGUCCAGGCGGAAGGGCAGAUCCCCUGCUCGGGCGCUGAGGGCGACGUGGUGUCCGGGAGGCCCGAGCGGCCAGGGCAGCGCCCAGAGCUGGACCCAGGGCGCUGGCUUCCUGUCCCUCGUGACGUGACCUCCAGGCAAGUGCUCUCCCACUGUGCAGGAGGGAAGCACUGUCAGCCC
Molecule: long non-coding RNA, 1047 nt
Filed under: Heterocephalus glaber (naked mole-rat)
Lineage: Eukaryota; Metazoa; Chordata; Mammalia; Rodentia; Bathyergidae
Description: lncRNA (ENSHGLG00000032688.1)
Source: RNAcentral